This is a non-coding RNA of Podarcis lilfordi (Lilford's wall lizard), 80 nucleotides long. NCBI's taxonomy places the organism in Eukaryota, Metazoa, Chordata, Lepidosauria, Squamata, Lacertidae. The record is from the annotation of a GenBank genome assembly.
GCUGGGCAUUUCUUAUGUUCCACAUGUACAACAUGAGACUGUUAAUCUCAAGGUCAUGGGUUCAAGCCCCAGGUUUGGCA